Molecule: long non-coding RNA, 233 nt
Filed under: Mustela putorius furo (domestic ferret)
Lineage: Eukaryota; Metazoa; Chordata; Mammalia; Carnivora; Mustelidae
Description: lncRNA (ENSMPUG00000030594.1)
Source: RNAcentral
ACUUUGCAUUCUAUAAGAAACCUUCCUUCUAUCAUUUCUACAGGUUUUAGGCCACACAAUAUCUGAAUCCACCGUUGCUUUCAGCAAUCCUGGUAAUAAAAAUUAUUCAUCACUCAAAACUAAGAUCAGAUGUCACUUCCUUUAUAAACUAUUUCCUGAAUCCCUAAUCAGGGAUCGAGUUAAGGGAGCGUGGAGUGGAGAAUUGGACUGCCCAUUUGAACAUUCUCUUUAAU